ACCUUCUUUCUUCACUCACUAUUUUCAUAAUAAAUUCAAAACACUUGAUUCAACGUCAAGUUCCUUUUUCAAAACCAUUUUCAUAACAAAUUGGAAUGCAAAUGGGGUAUACGUGAUAACAAUAUACAAAAUUCAGCAAAACAAGAACCCUAAUAACACUAUCAAUCUUCUCAUUUCUUGAUAACAAUAUACAAAAUUCAGCAAAACAAGAACACUAAUAACACUAUCAAUCUUCUCAUUUCUUGAUAACAAUAUACAAAAUUNNN
RNAcentral lists this long non-coding RNA (266 nucleotides) under Lathyrus oleraceus (garden pea). RNAcentral's name for it is "Pisum sativum (pea) long non-coding RNA (PSAT_LNC030986)". The record is from RNAcentral. Lineage: Eukaryota; Viridiplantae; Streptophyta; Magnoliopsida; Fabales; Fabaceae.